Molecule: ribosomal RNA, 253 nt
Filed under: uncultured bacterium
Lineage: Bacteria
Description: partial 16S ribosomal RNA
Rfam family: Bacterial small subunit ribosomal RNA
Source: RNAcentral
UACAGAGGUGGCAAGCGUUGUUCGGAAUUACUGGGCGUAAAGGGCGCGUAGGCGGUUCGUUAAGUCCUGUGUGAAAUCCCCCGGCUCAACUGGGGAACUGCGUCUGAUACUGGAUGGCUUGAGUUUGGGAGAGGGAUGCGGAAUUCCAGGUGUAGCGGUGAAAUGCGUAGAUAUCUGGAGGAACACCGGUGGCGAAGGCGGCAUCCUGGACCAACACUGACACUGAGGAGCGAAAGCCAGGGGAGCAAACGGG